Molecule: ribosomal RNA, 235 nt
Filed under: uncultured bacterium
Lineage: Bacteria
Description: partial 16S ribosomal RNA
Rfam family: Bacterial small subunit ribosomal RNA
Source: RNAcentral
UGGCGGACGGGUGAGUAAUGUCUGGGAAACUGCCUGAUGGAGGGGGAUAACUACUGGAAACGGUAGCUAAUACCGCAUAACGUCGCAAGACCAAAGAGGGGGACCUUAGGGCCUCUUGCCAUCGGGUGUGCCCAGAUGGGAUUAGCUAGUAGGUGGGGUAAAGGCUCACCUAGGCGACGAUCCCUAGCUGGUCUGAGAGGAUGACCAGCCACACUGGAACUGAGACACGGUCCAG